Drosophila nasuta is the source of this 844-nucleotide long non-coding RNA. RefSeq lists it as uncharacterized. Lineage: Eukaryota; Metazoa; Arthropoda; Insecta; Diptera; Drosophilidae. The transcript is spliced from 3 exons. The record is from RefSeq and is a predicted model, not a curated record.
UCAACUAUUUCUCAACAGUUCUGCACAAUUUGAAGGCAUUGCAAGUGAUCUUCGAAGGCAAAAAUUGGCUUGCCAAAAAUUUUAAUAUAUGUCUGCCAAAUUGUGUGUGUGUGCUUGACUAGGCGGCGGACCAAGAUAUUAGUGUGGGCGGACCUGAUAAGUGGGCAUGUUCAACACUUACUCAACAGUUCUGCACAAUUUGAAGGCAUUGCAAGUGAUCUUUGAAGGCAAAAAUUGGCUUGCCAAAAAUUUUAAUAUAUGUCUGCCAAAUUGUGUGUGUGUGCUUGACUAGGCGGCGGACCAAGAUAUUAGUGUGGGCGGACCUGAUAAGUGGGCGUGGCUAGGCAGGAGGGCUUCACAAAGAUUGCCUAGCUAAUCUAAUCAAUUGCUACUCAACAGUUCAUCUAUUACUCAACUAUUUCUCAACAGUUCUGCACAAUUUGAAGGCAUUGCAAGUGAUCUUUGAAGGGCGGCGGACCAAGAUAUUAGUGUGGGCGGACCUGAUAAGUGGGCGUGGCUAAGCAGGAGGGCUUCACAAAGAUUGCCUACCUAAUCUAAUCAAUUGCUACUCAACAGUUCAUCUAUUACUCAACUAUUUCUCAACAGUUCUGCACAAUUUGAAGGCAAUGCAAGUGAUCUUUGAAGGCAAAAAUUGACUUGCCAAAAAUUUUAAUAUAUGUCUGCCAAAUUGUGUGUGUGUGCUUGACUAGGCGGCGGACCAAGAUAUUAGUGUGGGCGGACCUGAUAAGUGGGCGUGGCUAGGCAGGAGGGCUUCACAAAGAUUGCCUAGCUAAUCUAAUCAAUUGCUACUUAACAGUUCAACUUUUACUCAACUAUUUCUCAA